GAAAUGCGAUAAGUAAUGUGAAUUGCAGAAUUCAGUGAAUCAUCGAAUCUUUGAACGCACCUUGCGCUCCUUGGUAUUCCUUGGAGCAUGCCUGUUUGAGUAUCAUGAAAUCUUCAAAGUAAAUCUUUUGUUAACUCAAUUGGUUUCUACUUUGGUAUUGGAGGUCUUUGCAGCUUCACACCUGCUCCUCUUUGUUCAUUAGCUGGAUCUCAGUGUUAUGCUUGGUUCCACUCGGCGUGAUAAGUUAUCUAUCGCUGAGGACACUGUAAAAGGUGGCCAAGGUAAAUGCAGAUGAACCGCUUCUAAUAGUCCAUUGACUUGGACAAUACUUUUAUGAUCUGAUCUCAAAUCAGGUAGGACUGCCCGCUGAACUUAAGC
RNAcentral lists this unclassified non-coding RNA (378 nucleotides) under plant metagenome. RNAcentral's name for it is "partial contains 5.8S ribosomal RNA, internal transcribed spacer 2, and large subunit ribosomal RNA". The stretch from base 1 to 105 matches the Rfam family "5.8S ribosomal RNA", at positions 50 to 154 of the family's 154-position model. The record is from RNAcentral.